Molecule: long non-coding RNA, 900 nt
Organism: Pecten maximus
Lineage: Eukaryota; Metazoa; Mollusca; Bivalvia; Pectinida; Pectinidae
Exons: 2
Source: RefSeq, a predicted model, not a curated record
CACAGGGUUCACACAUCAAAGUCCGUGCAGGCAGACUUAACACAGGAGAGCUCGCAUCUGAUGGCAGGGAUUUCCUCCCCUCCUGCUUAGUGCAGUGCCCAAGUGCAUGUGUGUAGUGACCUGAAAGUCUGCUGUCUGUGAGGCUGACUACACUAACAGCUUACUGGAGAUAUUGAACUGUAAGGGUAUUGACGGAAGCCUCUGGGUUUAUCAGCGAUGAUGUUUGGAUCACUAAUGCAGAGGUCUUUGCUCGUUUCUGUGCUACUUUGACUGGCGCGUUUCUGUGCCAAUGUGGAUGAUUUACCAGGGGAAAUACAUUUUUGGAGAAAAGCACAUUUACUAAAGGAGUAUGCUGCCUGGCUGACAUAAAUGUGAUGAUGCCCUGUUAGUGGGGGGUCAUUGACACAGUAUGGCAGCUGGACAUCUGACCAGCUGAGGUCCACAACUUACAGGGUUAAGGAGAUUAUCACAGAGACAAUAGCGUUUAUAUCAACUGGGGACCUGAGGGAAUUAACUUUUGGAUAUCACCCAAGUCUGUCGAAUAUCCCAGAAUUAACUGAAAUUUAUAGACUGGAGGGUGUGACUUUGACAUCAAACCCACUUGUCAGACUUGUGGUUAGUUCCUCAAACUUGCUCGCAACAGUUUCCUCUACCUGUUAUCAAAUGUCAUCAAACCUUUUUUUUUUUUUUAUAGGAAAACUGCCUUACAAACCUAUAACAAAUACCUUUAUUAACAUCGGUGUAUACAAUAUAUUCAUUUUAUUUCAAAUUGUUUUUUAAAAUUGCACAAAAAUGAAAAUAACAUUUUAGAGUGAAAAUUACACUUGACAGUGGACAAAAACAAAAAAUAAAUUAAAUAUCUUAAUGAUGUGUAUACAAAAAAUAAACAAAUCAGUGCAG